Mytilus trossulus (common blue mussel) is the source of this 301-nucleotide long non-coding RNA. RefSeq lists it as uncharacterized. The record is from RefSeq and is a predicted model, not a curated record. Lineage: Eukaryota; Metazoa; Mollusca; Bivalvia; Mytilida; Mytilidae. The transcript is spliced from 3 exons.
CAUAAAUAUGUUUCCUGUUACAAAACACGAAAGAAAGGACAACAACAGACGGUUUGGUCAAAUAUACUCAAAGACAUAACCAAGAUAUUGCGACAACUCUAAGAAUUUGAAGAUCUGCAAUUGAUAUUUAUUUGAUUCAAGGUCCAUAUAAUUAAUUACUAUACAUUCUAUAGUUUCAACAUCUAUAAUGUCUAUUAUUGAUAUUUAUUUGAUCAUUGUCCAGUCCCUGUGAUCAUUGUCCAGUCCUUGGGAUCAUUGUCCAGUCCUUGUGAUCCUUGGCCAGUCUAUGUGAUCCUUGUCC